GACGAACGCUGGCGGCGUGCUUAACACAUGCAAGUCGAACGGAAAGGCCCUGCUUUUGUGGGGUGCUCGAGUGGCGAACGGGUGAGUAACACGUGAGUAACCUGCCCUUGACUUUGGGAUAACUUCAGGAAACUGGGGCUAAUACCGGAUAGGAGCUCCUGCUGCAUGGUGGGGGUUGGAAAGUUUCGGCGGUUGGGGAUGGACUCGCGGCUUAUCAGCUUGUUGGUGGGGUAGUGGCUUACCAAGGCUUUGACGGGUAGCCAGCCUGAGAGGGUGACCGGCCACAUUGGGACUGAGAUACGGCCCAGACUCCUACGGGAGGCAGCAGUGGGGAAUAUUGCACAAUGGGCGGAAGCCUGAUGCAGCAACGCCGCGUGCGGGAUGACGGCCUUCGGGUUGUAAACCGCUUUCGCCUGUGACGAAGCGUGAGUGACGGUAAUGGGUAAAGAAGCACCGGCUAACUACGUGCCAGCAGCCGCGGUGAUACGUAGGGUGCGAGCGUUGUCCGGAUUUAUUGGGCGUAAAGGGCUCGUAGGUGGUUGAUCGCGUCGGAAGUGUAAUCUUGGGGCUUAACCCUGAGCGUGCUUUCGAUACGGGUUGACUUGAGGAAGGUAGGGGAGAAUGGAAUUCCUGGUGGAGCGGUGGAAUGCGCAGAUAUCAGGAGGAACACCAGUGGCGAAGGCGGUUCUCUGGGCCUUUCCUGACGCUGAGGAGCGAAAGCGUGGGGAGCGAACAGGCUUAGAUACCCUGGUAGUCCACGCUGUAAACGGUGGGUACUAGGUGUGGGGUCCAUUCCACGGGUUCCGUGCCGUAGCUAACGCUUUAAGUACCCCGCCUGGGGAGUACGGCCGCAAGGCUAAAACUCAAAGGAAUUGACGGGGCCCCGCACAAGCGGCGGAGCAUGCGGAUUAAUUCGAUGCAACGCGUAGAACCUUACCUGGGUUUGACAUGGAUCGGGAGUGCUCAGAGAUGGGUGUGCCUCUUUUGGGGUCGGUUCACAGGUGGUGCAUGGCUGUCGUCAGCUCGUGUCGUGAGAUGUUGGGUUAAGUCCCGCAACGAGCGCAACCCUUGUUCACUGUUGCCAGCACGUUAUGGUGGGGACUCAGUGGAGACCGCCGGGGUCAACUCGGAGGAAGGUGGGGAUGACGUCAAGUCAUCAUGCCCCUUAUGUCCAGGGCUUCACGCAUGCUACAAUGGCUGGUACAGAGAGUGGCGAGCCUGUGAGGGUGAGCGAAUCUCGGAAAGCCGGUCUCAGUUCGGAUUGGGGUCUGCAACUCGACCUCAUGAAGUCGGAGUCGCUAGUAAUCGCAGAUCAGCAACGCUGCGGUGAAUAAAUUCCCGGGGCU
This 1346-nucleotide ribosomal RNA is filed under the name uncultured bacterium. Its description in RNAcentral is "partial 16S ribosomal RNA". It matches the Rfam family "Bacterial small subunit ribosomal RNA", at positions 28 to 1381 of the family's 1533-position model. The record is from RNAcentral.